Molecule: ribosomal RNA, 940 nt
Filed under: uncultured archaeon
Lineage: Archaea
Description: bacterial SSU rRNA
Rfam family: Archaeal small subunit ribosomal RNA
Source: RNAcentral
UUCCGGUUGAUCCCGCCGGACCCCACUGCUAUCGAGAUGGGACUAAGGUAUGCUAGCCGAACGACCGGAACUAUGUCUGGAAGUGGCACACUGCUCAGUAACACGUAGCUAACCUACCCUUAGGACGUGGAUACCCCCGAGAAAUUGGGGUUAAUCCGCGAUAGGUGUAAUGUCCUGGAAUGGUAUUACGCCUAAAGGUGUAUCAUACAUGUUUGAUAUACGCCUAAGGAUGGGGCUGCGGCCGAUCAGGCUGUUGGUGAGGUAAUGGCUCACCAAACCUUUGACCGGUACGGGCCAUGAGAGUGGUAGCCCGGAGAUGGACACUGAGGCAAGGGUCCAGGCCCUAAGGGGCGCAGCAACCGCGAAACCUCCACAAUGCACUCACGUGCGAUGGGGCUAUCUCGAGUGCCACCUGAUGAAGGUGGCUUUUCCUAGGUCUUCAAAGCCUUGGGAAUAAGAGGGGGGCAAGACUGGUGUCAGCCGCCGCGGUAACACCAGCCCCUCGAGUGGUGGGGAUGAUUAUUUGGCCUAAAGCGUCCGUAGCCGGCCGAGCAAGUCUUCCGUUAAAUCCAGCGUCUCAAGCGUUGGACUGCGGGAGAUACUACACGGCUAGAGAGUGGGAGAGGUCAGCGGUAUUCUGGGGGUAGGGGCGAAAUCCUUUGAUCCCCGGAGGACCACCAGUGGCGAAGGCUGCUGACUAGAACACGUCUGACGGUCAGGGACGAAAGCUGGGGUAGCGAACCGGAUUAGAUACCCGGGUAGUCCCAGCCGUAAACGAUGCAUGCUAGGUGUUGGGUUGGCCACGAGCCACCCCAGUGCCGCAGGGAAGCCGUUAAGCAUGCCGCCUGGGAAGUACGAUCGCAAGAUUGAAACUUAAAGGAAUUGGCGGGGGAGCACCACCAGGCGUGAAGCCUGCGGUUUAAUUGGAUUCAACGCCGGG